CUGCCAAUGACCAGGUAGUACAGCUGA
This 27-nucleotide small RNA is filed under the name Bombyx mori (domestic silkworm). RNAcentral describes it as "ovarian small RNA-14903". The record is from RNAcentral. Lineage: Eukaryota; Metazoa; Arthropoda; Insecta; Lepidoptera; Bombycidae.